This 768-nucleotide long non-coding RNA is filed under the name Olea europaea subsp. europaea. Lineage: Eukaryota; Viridiplantae; Streptophyta; Magnoliopsida; Lamiales; Oleaceae. The record is from RNAcentral.
CUCGAGAAACUGGUUAGGGACUAAACAACGCUCCUUGACAGCUAUGGAGGAGGUAUCAACCCAAGAGACGCUGUAUGGCUGAGGGUGAGGAACAGACUUCAACCCUAGACGGGAUACGGUAGCCAUCGAAACUGCAUUAAUGCAGCUGCCACUAUCCACGAUGACUUUACAGCCCUUAUUAUUAAUCUUGAUGUAAGUGUGGAAGAUGGCACGACGGCGCCAAUCAUCGGCAUCCCUCGGCUGGGUAAGAGUACAACGGACGACACCGACUCUAGGUGUAUGUGGGAUAAGGGGACUAGCCUGGAUACAACCCAAGAAGGUAUCUUCAUUGUCCUCCAAGUCAUCAAACUCUUCUAAUUUAGGCUCAUACACCUGAUCCUCUAGUGGCUCGUCAACUAUACCUUCACGCUCUUCCAAAACUAGGGCUCGGCUAGGACACUUAGAAGCAAUGUGAUCAAAACCCUUACAGUUGAAGCAUUGCAAACGAGAGGAAGUUCUUGAAACCUCAGAACCUCUACCUUUACUAUCGGAUGUAGGGGUAAGAUUAGAAGGAGGAGGUCCUAGAAUAGACUUAGGGGGUGGAGCGGAUGCAGAAGAGGUAGCAGUGCAGGAGUCACUACGACUUCUAUACGGUGUCCUAGUCACUAACUCGUAAUCCCGAACGAAAGAGUAGGCGUGGUCAAGAGUGGUGACACCUCUAAGAACAAGCUCACGUCUAAGAUAAUCCCGUAGGCCUUGCCUAAACCUACUCAAAGUCAUGACUUCGUC